Molecule: ribosomal RNA, 728 nt
Filed under: uncultured Coriobacteriales bacterium
Lineage: Bacteria; Bacillati; Actinomycetota; Coriobacteriia; Coriobacteriales
Description: bacterial SSU rRNA
Rfam family: Bacterial small subunit ribosomal RNA
Source: RNAcentral
GAUGAACGCUGGCGGCGUGCUUAACACAUGCAAGUCGAGCGGUAAGGCCCCUUUCGGGGGUACACGAGCGGCGAACGGGUGAGUAACACGUGAGGAACCUGCCCCCCUCUCUGGGAUAACUCCGGGAAACCGGAGCUAAUACCGGAUACUCCGGCGAGAUCGCAUGGUCUUGUCGGGAAAGCUCCGGCGGAGGGGGAUGGCCUCGCGGCCCAUUAGCUAGUUGGUGGGGUAACGGCCUACCAAGGCUGCGAUGGGUAGCCGAGCUGAGAGGCUGAUCGGCCACACUGGGACUGAGACACGGCCCAGACUCCUACGGGAGGCAGCAGUGGGGAAUAUUGCGCAAUGGGCGAAAGCCUGACGCAGCAACGCCGCGUGCGGGAUGAAGGCCUUCGGGUUGUAAACCGCUUUCAGCAGGGACGAAACUGACGGUACCUGCAGAAGAAGCCCCGGCUAACUACGUGCCAGCAGCCGCGGUAAUACGUAGGGGGCUAGCGUUAUCCGGAUUCAUUGGGCGUAAAGCGCGCGUAGGCGGGCUGUUAAGUCAGGUGUGAAAACCGGGGGCUCAACCCGCGGCCUGCACCUGAAACUGGCAGCCUCGAGUCUGGUAGAGGAAAGUGGAAUUCCCAGUGUAGCGGUGAAAUGCGCAGAUAUUGGGAGGAACACCAGUGGCGAAGGCGGCUUUCUGGGCCACGACUGACGCUGAGGCGCGAAAGCUAGGGGAGCAAACA